RNAcentral lists this transfer RNA (68 nucleotides) under Typhlatya taina. RNAcentral describes it as "tRNA-Ile". The record is from RNAcentral. Lineage: Eukaryota; Metazoa; Arthropoda; Malacostraca; Decapoda; Atyidae.
AAUAGCGUGCUUGAUAAAAAGGUUGUUUUGAUAGAACAAAUUAUGAGAAAAUUUCUUCUCCGCUAUUA